Long non-coding RNA from Columba livia (rock pigeon), 380 nucleotides. RefSeq lists it as uncharacterized. The transcript has 3 exons. The record is from RefSeq and is a predicted model, not a curated record. NCBI's taxonomy places the organism in Eukaryota, Metazoa, Chordata, Aves, Columbiformes, Columbidae.
CCCAGGAAGGGAGCUUAUUCUGCUUCUGGGCUGCUUGGGUGCUGGUUCUCUGCUGCUCCUUUAGCAGUUGGCAGCUUUUGAGCUGUUUAAGCUACAUGGGCAGAUGUGUUUGGAGAAGUGGAGAUGUCUGCUUGAGGUAGAACCUUCAGGAGCGGAGAAGCUUCAAUAGCAGCUGUAGUUGAAAGCGUCACCAGCGCUGAGGCUUUCUGACCGCGCCAGCGGCACGACACGCCGACCGGACCGCCCUGGAGCUCAGCAGGAGGCGCUGAAGAGGAACCCGGUGACGCGGGAAGACGGCCCUUGGCGCACGUGGCUUUUUCCUCUGCCGAAGAUGGGUUCGGUCCCUCGGCCCUCUGAAAGCUAAGUGGAGGCGCAUGGGC